AGCUCCAAUAGCGUAUAUUAAAGUUGUUGCAGUUGAAAAGCUCGUAGUCGGAUUUCGGGUCGAGUGUGCCGGUCUGCCGUUGGGUAUGCACUGGUGUGUUCGGUCUUUUCGCGUGAGGCCUUGUGCGUCGUUAAUUCGUCGUGCUUGGUGCUCUGCACGUUUACUUUGAGAAAAUCAGAGUGUUCAAAGCAGGCCUUUGCCAUUGUAUGUGUUAGCAUGGGAUAAUGGAAUAGGACCUUGGUGCUAUUUUGUUGGUUUCGAACGCCGAGGUAAUGAUUAAUAGGGACAGUCAGGGGCACUCGUAUUCCGUAGAGAGAGGUGAAAUUCUUAGACCCACGGAAGACGCACUACUGCGAAAGCAUUUGCCAGGGAUGUUUUCACUGAUCAAGAACGAAAGUAC
RNAcentral lists this ribosomal RNA (400 nucleotides) under phytoplankton environmental sample. Its description in RNAcentral is "partial small subunit ribosomal RNA". It matches the Rfam family "Eukaryotic small subunit ribosomal RNA", at positions 587 to 992 of the family's 1831-position model. The record is from RNAcentral.